This 253-nucleotide ribosomal RNA is filed under the name uncultured bacterium. RNAcentral's name for it is "partial 16S ribosomal RNA". It matches the Rfam family "Bacterial small subunit ribosomal RNA", at positions 524 to 776 of the family's 1533-position model. The record is from RNAcentral.
UACGUAUGGUGCAAGCGUUGUCCGGAAUUAUUGGGCGUAAAGAGCUCGUAGGCGGUUUGUCGCGUCGAAUGUGAAAACCCGGGGCUCAACUCCGGGCCUGCAUUCGAUACGGGCAGACUAGAGUUCGGUAGGGGAGUCUGGAAUUCCUGGUGUAGCGGUGAAAUGCGCAGAUAUCAGGAGGAACACCGGUGGCGAAGGCGGGACUCUGGGCCGAUACUGACGCUGAGGAGCGAAAGCGUGGGGAGCAAACAGG